RNAcentral lists this ribosomal RNA (829 nucleotides) under uncultured bacterium. RNAcentral's name for it is "bacterial SSU rRNA". It matches the Rfam family "Bacterial small subunit ribosomal RNA", at positions 600 to 1429 of the family's 1533-position model. The record is from RNAcentral.
UCCCCGGGCUCAACCNUGGGAACUGCGUUCUGAACUGGGUGACUAGAGUGUGUCAGAGGGAGGUAGAAUUCCACGUGUAGCAGUGAAAUGCGUAGAGAUGUGGAGGAAUACCGAUGGCGAAGGCAGCCUCCUGGGAUAACACUGACGUUCAUGCCCGAAAGCGUGGGUAGCAAACAGGAUUAGAUACCCUGGUAGUCCACGCCCUAAACGAUGUCGAUUAGCUGUUGGGCAGCAUGACUGCUUAGUAGCGAAGCUAACGCGUGAAAUCGACCGCCUGGGGAGUACGGUCGCAAGAUUAAAACUCAAAGGAAUUGACGGGGACCCGCACAAGCGGUGGAUGAUGUGGAUUAAUUCGAUGCAACGCGAAGAACCUUACCUGGUCUUGACAUGUACGGAACCCUCCAGAGACGGAGGGGUGCCUUCGGGAGCCGUAACACAGGUGCUGCAUGGCUGUCGUCAGCUCGUGUCGUGAGAUGUUGGGUUAAGUCCCGCAACGAGCGCAACCCUUGUCAUUAGUUGCCAUCAUUAAGUUGGGCACUCUAAUGAGACUGCCGGUGACAAGCCGGAGGAAGGUGGGGAUGACGUCAAGUCCUCAUGGCCCUUAUGACCAGGGCUUCACACGUCAUACAAUGGUCGGUACAGAGGGUAGCCAAGCCGCGAGGUGGAGCCAAUCUCACAAAACCGAUCGUAGUCCGGAUUGCACUCUGCAACUCGAGUGCAUGAAGUCGGAAUCGCUAGUAAUCGCAGGUCAGCAUACUGCGGUGAAUACGUUCCCGGGUCUUGUACACACCGCCCGUCACACCAUGGGAGUGGGGGAUACCAGAAGUAG